CCUACGUGUGGCAGCAGUGGGGAAUAUUGCACAAUGGGGGCAACCCUGAUGCAGCGACGCCGCGUGAGUGAAGAAGGAUUUCGGUAUGUAAAGCUCUAUCAGCAGGGAAGAAAAUGACAGUGCCUGAUUAAGAAGCCCCGGCUAACUACGUGCCAGCGGCCGCGGUAAUACGUAGGGGUCACACGUUGUCCGGAUUUACUGGGUGUAAAGGGGGCGUAGACGGCAGCACAAGUCUGGAGUGAAAUGCCGGGGCUUAACCCCGGAACUGCUUUGGAAACUGUGCAGCUCGAGUGCAGGAGAGGUAAGUGGAAUUCCUAGUGUAGCGGUGAAAUGCGUAGAUAUUAGGAGGAAAACCAGUGGCGAAGGCGGAUUACUGGACUGUAACUGACGUUGAGGCUCGAAAGCGUGGGGAGCAAACAGGAUUAGAUACCCGUGUAGUC
This 440-nucleotide ribosomal RNA is filed under the name uncultured bacterium. RNAcentral's name for it is "partial 16S ribosomal RNA". It matches the Rfam family "Bacterial small subunit ribosomal RNA", at positions 338 to 795 of the family's 1533-position model. The record is from RNAcentral.